UACGGGGGGGGCAAGCGUUGUUCGGAAUUACUGGGCGUAAAGGGCUCGUAGGCGGCCAACUAAGUCAGACGUGAAAUCCCUCGGCUUAAUCGGGGAACUGCAUCUGAUACUGGAUGGCUUGAGUUCGGGAGAGGGAUGCGGAAUUCCAGGUGUAGCGGUGAAAUGCGUAGAUAUCGGAAGGAACACCAGUGGCGAAAGCGGCUCCCUGGUCCAGCACCGACGUUCAGGCACGAAAGCGUGGGGAGCAAACAGG
RNAcentral lists this ribosomal RNA (253 nucleotides) under uncultured bacterium. RNAcentral's name for it is "partial 16S ribosomal RNA". It matches the Rfam family "Bacterial small subunit ribosomal RNA", at positions 524 to 776 of the family's 1533-position model. The record is from RNAcentral.